AAGAACUGCAAUCUUUAUGGCUCGCUGCGAAUGCAAUGCUCUUCCUUCUUCUUGCAAAAUGCAAAGCCUGUAGUUCGUCAAUACCAAUACAAAGUCCUUAGCGUCCGGCGCACCGGGUGCGAAUCGGUUAAAAGCGGUUGAAUUUUGAACAUCACCAAUAACAUGGAAACAGAUGGUGCUUCUUUCAAACGCAGUAGCUUAUGGCACAGCUAUUCAGAAAUCGCUUAUGAAUCAGUUAAAAAGAUUUUCGUUACGAAUCGCUGAGUCAUGGGGCAGCUGGACAUGAAGUCGAUUGCGAAUCGGGUAUGAACCAGUUCUGCGAUCGGUCUGCACCAGCUAAGGGCUGCUCGUGCACUAUGGCCUUUGCAAACGGCCAAGUUGAACGCAAACCCUGGCUAAAACCAACAUUAUUUCCAACCAAAACCGCUGGAGGGUCCCAAAAAAAAAAAAAGAAAAUCGCGCGUCAGCAAUAUCCAGGCGCUACAGAAAUAGCUCUGCGAAUAUGUAUGAAAUAUGUGCGUGCGAACUCAGUGCCUCUCGUGUUUUUUGUCGCCUCGAAUGUGUCGAAAUUAUUUGCGUGCUUGUUGUCCGCCCCCUCACUUCCCCCACUCUCACUGGCCCCCAUAGGACCCGCCAAUUCCCUGGCGGCGGCAACAGAUCUACGUAAUUUUUGUUGUGUUCAGUUCCAUAAAAAUAUAAAUGUGUAAAUGAUCUUUUGUGUGUGCAAAGGUUUUUUCCGCAGCCCACAGCCAUGAAACAAAAUCGAAACCAAAAAUUAUGCUAGACAGUUUUCCAUAUCGUAUAGAUAUGGCGUUUCGUUGGCAAAGAUCUUGGAUUUCCAAGAAAACGUUUAUGUCGCAUAAUGAUGCUAAACAUUGGUAUAUGGAUAACAAAGGCAACAUUUCAUGUUUCAUGAUUAUUCAAUAGCUACUUUCAAUAAUUAUCAAUGAACAACAAAGGAAAAUUGAAAUUUAGCAAUAAAUUUGGGACUUGAUACAUUCAACAAACAACAUAUAACAAUCAGCAUAUAUCAAUUAGUGAUAUACAUAUAUACAUGUGUGACAUGGAACAUUAAACAUGCAACAUUGAAUUUGCAACAUUGAAUAUGCAACAUUGAAUUGGCAACAUUGAAUAUGCAACAUUGAAUGAACAACAUUGAAUGUGCAACAUUGAAUGUGCAACAUUGAAUGUGCAACAUUGAAUUUGCAACAUUGAAAGUGCAACAAUGAAUUUGCAACAUUGAAUUGGCAACAUUGAAUAUGCAACAUUGAGUGUACAACAUUGAAUGUGCAACAUUAAAUUUGCAACAUUGAAAGUGCAACAAUGAAUUUGCAACAUUGAAACAUAGGCAACAUUCAACGCAAAACAUUGAAGACAUCAAAAGUUACUUUGUAUACAUUGUAAUUUACUUAAUUUACAUAAUUAAUGUAAUGUAAAAAAAAUUUCGUCCACCAACACCUACAAUUCCCAAUAAGUUCUGACUCAAUCCUCAUGGGAUAGGCGCUCUGACAGCUCAUAGAUCAGUUGACCGGAAGUUGUGAUGUGGUAGUAUAAGUAGUAGUAUGUGUGUUUGUGUUUGUGUGUGUGAUAGUGGUUCCAGAGGCCAUGUGGACAUCCCGCCGUCGAUCUGGAUGCAGUGCACCAUGGACCGGACCAGGUAUGUUCCACAGAAUUUGAAAUUCGAAUGGAAACUGGAUCUGCACGCUUUGGGCAGGCAAAACCACCUGUCUACUGAAUUCUACUAGUUCGGAAGCCUCAAUUGGAAUUGCAUCAAUUGGAAGACGAUCUCGAGCUGAGUAACUGAGGAACUGAGGAACUGUCUGCUUGAGUGCUUUUCCAUUGCGGAGAGUUUUUCUAUUUCUAUUUGAAUUGGAAUUUGAAAUUUCAUUUUGAAUUUGAUUUUCACUUAAUUCCAUUUGCGAACUGGUUUGUGGCGCCCGAGCAGUUACAACAAUGGAUAUGACAACAAUUAGUUGAUGCCACAUGUCGCCUGGCUCUUUGUUCGUUGUCGCUGUCGUUAUUUGCAAAAUAGAUAUUGCAAAAUGCCCAAAAGCA
Drosophila santomea is the source of this 2055-nucleotide long non-coding RNA. RefSeq lists it as uncharacterized. The transcript is spliced from 3 exons. NCBI's taxonomy places the organism in Eukaryota, Metazoa, Arthropoda, Insecta, Diptera, Drosophilidae. The record is from RefSeq and is a predicted model, not a curated record.